CCCCCUUUUAUUGAUGUAUUCAUUUCCACGCCACUCCAAACUGAACCGUACGUGUAAUCAUAAUAUGAAACUAUCCAGAAUCAAUACGUGUAAAGCAAGAAAAUUAAAUUAAAGACUGCUGAUUAUUUUGGGGACCACAUGUCACUUGUAGAUAGUUUGACGGGCAGAGUUUGACAGGACCUCGAAACGGAUAUUCAUCAGUUGCGGUCAGUGGUUGGUCAGCGUCACGUUAAGUUUCUGAUUUCAGGGACAGAUGGUCCAUCCUCAGGUGGACGCUCUAUAAAAUGGGCUCCGUUGUCUCUCACUGGGAGAAGCUGGUGGCAGCCUUAACGGGAUUUGUUCGCGCAUAAAAAUUUAUUUCAGCACGAGUACUCAUUGCUCUCCUAAGACACGUCAGAAAAAAAGGGCCGAUUAAGACAUCAGACAUGCAGAUGGUAGAUGUAAUGGCGAUUUUCCUGCUGUUCUUUGCGGCAGCCCCGGGCCAGGCCUGUAGUCCUCCUAGAUUUUGGAGACCCGAGAGCUUUAAAGACAGGUUGGGGCAAGCGUCGAUUGUAUUCCGCGGGAAGGUGACCAGUCUACCCGACCAGGGAGCCUCGCCGAUCAUGUACUCACCUCUGUACGACGCUACCUUCGAAGUUGACUGCUACUACAAAGGGAUCAUCGAUUGGGGACCCAAGUCCGAAACUGUGGGGGGGUUCGGAUGGGAUGGUGGAUUGUGUACGGGCAGCGAUGUUGAAGUCGGCAAAAGCUACUUCAUCUUCGCUGAUCUCUAUCCUUGGUCAGAUGGUCUGACCGUAAGUCAUAUCAACAUGCAGAGUGGAGCCACGGAGGAAACGGCCGGGCUCAUCGCAGAGGUGGAGCAAGAUUACGGCUGUUCCCAACCUCAACGAUGAAGCCCUCAUCAGUUUGCUUCACAACUUGCACGAAAACGGUGUUUUUGUGUCGAGAGUACUUUUGCUCUUUAUUCGAUUUUAAAUUAUGCAUGACUUGAGACUUUGUUUAAUACAUAUUAACUUAAAUUUUUAGCUUUUUCUUGUUUUUGUGGUUGAAGUAUGCAGCCAUAAUUAUCCCGAACGGUUUCAAUAUAUAACACAAGCUGAAGGACCCUUUGUCUCAAUUUAUCCAAGACUUUAAUGAGAAAAUACAAUUUUGUCUUAAGUAUAAUCAAACUCCAGUUUCAACAUGAAUUCCAUAAUUUAUUCUGUCACUGUUACAUACAUUUUAAUCUAACGUAUAAAUUCAUUGUUGGUAACACAUUCCUUGGCGAAUUAUUUACGAUUGGUCCUACACAAUUAAAAAAUUUAGUAGAGGCCCCCGUAAUUAAUUUAUUUUCCCCUUAUUUCUGUUUUUCCUUACUAUUGGUGUUGGUGAAGCAUUCAAUAAAACUCAAACGAGAGUAAGUGCAUCUA
Molecule: long non-coding RNA, 1409 nt
Organism: Acanthaster planci (crown-of-thorns starfish)
Lineage: Eukaryota; Metazoa; Echinodermata; Asteroidea; Valvatida; Acanthasteridae
Source: RefSeq, a predicted model, not a curated record